CUGGGUAGGCGCUCUGGUGCUCACUGAGAAAGCUUCCUUAGGUGUACCGAUCUUAAUGAUUGAGCCCUUGGAGCAGCAAGAUUGUUGAUCUUGGUUGCUCCUUUGGCCUGUCUAUCCCUUACCUUCCUAUUACAUAUGAACUUUUCUUCGUUCUGCACAUCGAUUGUCGUCGGCGUCGUGGAGAUCGUCGUGGUGCUCCGGUGGUGGUCUUCGUCCGCUUAGAAUAGUGUAGUUAGUUAGGGGCCUUCAAAGAAGAAAGAAGAAGCGAUUGGCGCGGAGAUGCUGGAGGUGUCAGUUACUAUGCUAGAGUAGGGUAGUGAAACAAUCCCCAGCCAAACCUUUCCGGGGGGCGCAGGUUGCCCACAGGAGGUCGACUUGCCGGCGCUGUCCUUCGCGCCGAGCUCCCUCCAUCCUUCGUUCCGUCUGCUGAGACGCAAGGUUGCGGCGCGCAGCGCUGAGCAGCGCACUGACUGCCGCGGGCUCCGCUGGGCGAUUGCAGCCGAGUCCGUUUCUCGUCUAGCUGCCGCCGCGGCGACCUGCCUGGUCUUCCUCCCGGACGCUAGCGGGUUGUCAACUAUUACCUGCAAGCAUAGGCCAACGAACACCUUCUUUCCAAAUUAAUUGGAAUGAAACAAUUCUUUUAACUUCCUAAUUCUCAGUUUGAAACUCUGGUUGCUUAAGCCUGAAGCAAUCAUGGUGAACCUUGGCAACGCGGUGCGCUCGCUCCUGAUGCACCUAAUCGGCCUAUUGGUUUGGCAAUUCGAUAUUUCCAUAAGUCCAGUAGCAGCUAUAGUAACUGACACUUUUAAUUCCUCCGAUGGUGGACGCUUGUUUCAAUUCCCGGACGGGGUACAAAACUGGCCAGCACUUUCAAUCGUCGUGAUUAUAAUCAUGACAAUAGGGGGCAACAUUCUUGUUAUCAUGGCAGUAAGCAUGGAGAAGAAACUGCACAAUGCAACCAAUUACUUCUUAAUGUCCCUAGCCAUUGCUGAUAUGCUGGUGGGACUACUUGUCAUGCCCCUGUCCCUGCUUGCU
Long non-coding RNA from Rattus rattus (black rat), 1035 nucleotides. RefSeq lists it as uncharacterized. The record is from RefSeq and is a predicted model, not a curated record. NCBI's taxonomy places the organism in Eukaryota, Metazoa, Chordata, Mammalia, Rodentia, Muridae. The transcript has 4 exons.